Molecule: small nuclear RNA, 143 nt
Organism: Equus caballus (horse)
Lineage: Eukaryota; Metazoa; Chordata; Mammalia; Perissodactyla; Equidae
Gene: U2
Rfam family: U2 spliceosomal RNA
About the family: U2 is a small nuclear RNA (snRNA) component of the spliceosome (involved in pre-mRNA splicing). Complementary binding between U2 snRNA (in an area lying towards the 5' end but 3' to hairpin I) and the branchpoint sequence (BPS) of the intron results the bulging out of an unpaired adenosine, on the BPS, which initiates a nucleophilic attack at the intronic 5' splice site, thus starting the first of two transesterification reactions that mediate splicing.
Source: Ensembl
AUCGCUUCUUGGCCUUUUGGCUAAGAUCAAGUGUAGGAAUCAAUGAAUUUCUGGUUAUGGAGGCUAAAAUGAUAUCUAAUCUUGACUUAAUCUAGGUCUCUUCAGUAUUUGUCACCCUUUACUACAUUCUCUGCUGAUGCACU